CUUCCGUCCUUUAUGGUAGUCGCUUCAGUUUGACCAGACACCUGGCAUGGUGCUUUCUUCCAUAUAUUGUUCUCUAGAAAAUUUUCCUUGUGUAUAGUAUAUUGGAUUCGAUGAUUAUUAUUUUAGCUUCUUCAGACGCUUUUGUUCUUCUUUUAAGAUCGGGAUGACUUUCCAUGCUGUUAUAUACCAUAUAAGAGCUCUCUGGCAGAGAUUACUAUGUUUCACUCCGAAGAAUACAAGAAAAUGGAAGGUACCCAACCUUAGUGCAAGCGUUGUGAACAUAUAUCUGGUCCUCUUGAUUGGACUAUUGGCAGCCUUUUAUUUUGCACAAACUGUUCAUAUAUAUGCAUCUGUUUUUGUAACUACAAAAUGUAGUAAGUGUACUCCAGCGAUGUAUAUAUAUAUUUAUUUACUUAAGAACAACCUUUCCAUAAAGGAGGUCAUACGCUCCAUAC
RNAcentral lists this long non-coding RNA (455 nucleotides) under Hordeum vulgare. RNAcentral's name for it is "long non-coding RNA (HVUL_LNC003047)". Lineage: Eukaryota; Viridiplantae; Streptophyta; Magnoliopsida; Poales; Poaceae. The record is from RNAcentral.